This 1225-nucleotide ribosomal RNA is filed under the name Triticum aestivum (bread wheat). RNAcentral's name for it is "partial small subunit ribosomal RNA". The record is from RNAcentral. Lineage: Eukaryota; Viridiplantae; Streptophyta; Magnoliopsida; Poales; Poaceae.
CCACGCAACACCAGCGAGCCAUUUAGUAUUGGUAUAUACAUACGCACACUGGAGAUGGACAUUGGCGAGCGAAGGAAGAGUCGUCGCUCAUUGUGCUGUGCCUACCACCGCUACUGACGCUCGUGACGACCGCUACCGACGCAGCAAAGAUGCCGGCCGAGGAGCUGCGCCACGGCCCCGUCGGCGCCGUCUCCUGGCUCGGCAUCGCCUUCCUCACCGUCAACUCGGCCAUGGCGAUCCACAGGUCCAAGGGCGACCCGGCCGCGGUCGGCUUCGUCGCCUUCUCCUACCUCGACCUCGUACUGCUCUUCUACUGCCACAGGAGGUUCGAGAGCGCCGCGCCCGGCUCGCCGGCGAGACGCAGGCUCAAGGUGGCCGUCUGGGUCCUCACCACCAUGCUCACGGCCGUUCUGAGCUAUAAAGUCGCGGCUAUCAUGCCGCUGCCCGUGCAGAUCCUCGUUUGGGCCAUGGCCGCCGCCGCCGUCGGAGGAGGAUUCUACGCCUUCUUCCUGUUCCGGGAAGGCAAGGAUGGUUAAGGAAGCAUGGCAGAUAUUUUCUGGGAAAGCCCUUAUUUUGGAUCCUACAUGCUCUAAACGUAGCUGGAAAAAGAAAUCAAAGGUACAUAUGUUCUUUCAGGAAAAAUGGGACGUUAUGGACAAGGUUUGGCACACUCUCACUUCCAGGUCAUUAGCUGCCGCCCCAACUAUUGCCGCUGAGCACGCAAAUGUUCGAGUUUUGUCCUUCUAGGACCAUGGGCACUGAACUCAGGAGGGCGUUCUCUCCGUCAAAUUCUUGUCACGCUACAUGAAACCUUACAUCUAAGCUGCUAAAGUGAAUGAUGGGUAUUAUGUGCAUUGUGUAUUGUGUAUUAUGUAUUAUGUAUGGUGUAGGUAGCAAGCAGCUUCCUUUUGUCCCAGGUCAUGUAAUAUCAUCAGCAAAAAUAGAACUUAAGACAACAAGGUCUUACAUUUUUCUUGUUAAAGAAGAAGGUGGUGUAGCAAGACUGAUGAUAGUGUUGCUCUCUCGGUGUGGUAACUCAUACUGUGGCAGUGUAGUUUGGUCAUGCCAUGACGAGUGGCAUGAUCAAAACAAGGAUCAGUUCAACUUUUUGAUAAUAACAGAGAAAAAAGAAAGCAAGGACAAAGGGGGCGGACUGGGAAGAGUCUGGCUAUUAUCACAAAUCGUAAUCGGCAAAAUUCUAAUAGUAUACGACGAAUCCAGUUGA